CAAAAACAUGUCCUCUUGAUUAUAUUUUGAGGUCUGGCCUGCUCACUGAUAAAUUUAAAGAGCCGCGGUAUUUUGACCGUGCAAAGGUAGCAUAAUCAUUAGUCUUUUAAUUAAGGGCUGGAAUGAAUGGCUUGACGAGAAAUUAACUGUCUCUUAAUAAUUUAUAAAAUUUAACUUUUGAGUCAAAAGGCUUAAAUUUUUCUUUAGGACGAGAAGACCCUAUAGAGCUUAACAUAUAAUUUAUAUUUAUACAUUAGAUGAUUUUUAUAUAUUUAAUGAUAAUGUUUUGUUGGGGUGACAUGAAGAAUUAAUAAACUCUUCAUUAUAAAAUCAUUAAUUUAUGUUUAUUUUUGAUCCAUAAUUUAUGAUCAUAAGAUUAAGUUACCUUAGGGAUAACAGCGUAAUUGUUUUUGAGAGCUCAAAUCAACAAAGCAGAUUGCGACCUCGAUGUUGGAUUAAGAAAAAUUUUGGGUGU
Molecule: ribosomal RNA, 475 nt
Filed under: Ceracris kiangsu (yellow-spined bamboo locust)
Lineage: Eukaryota; Metazoa; Arthropoda; Insecta; Orthoptera; Acrididae
Description: partial 16S ribosomal RNA
Rfam family: Archaeal large subunit ribosomal RNA
Source: RNAcentral